Molecule: small nuclear RNA, 141 nt
Filed under: Aotus nancymaae (Ma's night monkey)
Lineage: Eukaryota; Metazoa; Chordata; Mammalia; Primates; Aotidae
Description: U4 spliceosomal RNA (ENSANAG00000012838.1)
Rfam family: U4 spliceosomal RNA
About the family: U4 small nuclear RNA (U4 snRNA) is a component of the major U2-dependent spliceosome. The structure of U4 snRNA from yeast and human has been reported.
Source: Rfam by way of RNAcentral
AGCUUUGCACAGUGGCAGUAUCGUAGCCAAUGAGGUUUAUCCGAGGCGCUAUUAUUGCUAAUUGAAGUCUUUUCCCAAUACCCUGCCAUGAUGACUUGCAAUAUAGUCAGCAUUGGCAAUUUUUGACAGUCUCUAAGGAGA